This 497-nucleotide ribosomal RNA is filed under the name uncultured bacterium. RNAcentral's name for it is "partial 16S ribosomal RNA". It matches the Rfam family "Bacterial small subunit ribosomal RNA", at positions 28 to 507 of the family's 1533-position model. The record is from RNAcentral.
GAUGAACGCUGGCGGCGUGCCUAAUACAUGCAAGUCGAGCGAACGGACGAGAAGCUUGCUUCUCUGAUGUUAGCGGCGGGCGGGUGAGUAACACGUGGAUAACCUACCUAUAAGACUGGGAUAACUUCGGGAAACCGGAGCUAAUACCGGAUAAUAUUUUGAACCGCAUGGUUCAAAAGUGAAAGACGGUCUUGCUGUCACUUAUAGAUGGAUCCGCGCUGCAUUAGCUAGUUGGUAAGGUAACGGCUUACCAAGGCAACGAUGCAUAGCCGACCUGAGAGGGUGAUCGGCCACACUGGAACUGAGACACGGUCCAGACUCCUACGGGAGGCAGCAGUAGGGAAUCUUCCGCAAUGGGCGAAAGCCUGACGGAGCAACGCCGCGUGAGUGAUGAAGGUCUUCGGAUCGUAAAACUCCGUUAUUAGGGAAGAACAUAUGUGUAAGUAACUGUGCACAUCUUGACGGUACCUAAUCAGAAAGCCACGGCUAACUACGUG